UAUAAACUUUAUAAAAAUUAAAUAAUAUUAGAAUUUAUUUAUUAAUUAAAAAAAAUUAAUUGAUUUUAAAAGACAAUAAGACCCUUUAGAAUUUUAUAUUUAUAUAAAUUAUUUUAUAAUAUUUUUAUAAAAAUUAGUUUAUAAAAAUAUUAUGAUGGGGCAUUAACAAAAUUUAAUAAAAUUUUGUUAGAUUUUAUUAAACAAUUUAAUAAUUGAAUUGAAUUUAUAUAGUUGAUCUUAAUAAGUAAAUUAUAAGAAAAAAUUACCUAAGGGAUAACAGCGUAAUUAUUUUGGAUAGUUCAUAUUGAUAAAAUAGUUUGCGACCUCGAUGUUGAAUUAAGAUUAAUAAUAAGUGGAGAUAUUUAUGAAUUAAGUCUGUUCGACUUUUUAAAUCUUACAUGAUUUGAGUUAAGAUCGGUGUAAGCCAGAUCGGUUUUUAUCUUUAAAAUUUUAAAUAUUUAUUUGUACGAAAGGACUAUAAAUUGUUUAAUAUAUUUAAAUAUAUUUAAUGAAUUGAAUUAAUUAUUUUAAUAUAUUUAUAUAAU
RNAcentral lists this ribosomal RNA (545 nucleotides) under Schlettererius cinctipes. Its description in RNAcentral is "partial 16S ribosomal RNA". The record is from RNAcentral. Lineage: Eukaryota; Metazoa; Arthropoda; Insecta; Hymenoptera; Stephanidae.